GGCCGCAAUCCAAACAGGAUUCUGCUCCGAUCAGAGGAUAUUCAUGCACCCAUUUAGAUGCACAAAUUGAUUGCCCAAUCCCAGAAAUUUUUCAACAUGCAAUAUGCCAAACAACUGACAGGCUCUAAAAAUCCCGCCAACACCUGGCCACAAACAACUUCUUCUUUGCAUUAAGCAACCCCAAGCGCAGGCGCCUGCAACACGUGGCGGUA
Molecule: long non-coding RNA, 212 nt
Organism: Drosophila persimilis
Lineage: Eukaryota; Metazoa; Arthropoda; Insecta; Diptera; Drosophilidae
Exons: 3
Source: RefSeq, a predicted model, not a curated record